GCCUACGGGAGGAGCGACUGGAGUUGAUCGGCUGGGCGCUCAGGUAGCGAAGAUAAAUGUAAUCUUGUGGCAGGAAAUCGACAUUCUCUGCACUAUCUUUAGUUUCCCAACUGAACUUCUGAGAAAUGGAGGCUACAAUACCUAGUUUGCCAAACAGGAGAUUAGAAGACUACAAUUCCCAGAAGGAACUACGACCAUCAUUGGUCCGCGCUCAUACUUUGCAUCAUGGGACUUGUAGUCAUCACCAGCUUGCGCUGAUUCUAACAGAACCUGGACAACUACCCUCAACUGGUAACAUAUUUUGGUGAGCCAACCAGAAGGUAAGCCCAAAGUUUGGGAUUUGUUUUUUUCUUUUUCCUCUUUCUCUCUCUCCCUUUUCCUUUCCAAGUUGGGACCCUUGAUGGACAGUGCCUAAGCAUGGAGGCAACUGCAGGUUUCUGGCCGGAGCCACUCUCUGGUGAAACUAAAAGGUCCAUGUGGAAGCACCUGACUGCCACCACCUGUUCAGGAUCAAGUCUGUGAUACCUGAAGCCUUGGACCUGGAACCUGAAGUUUCCUUCAGCCACUACACCUGUGAACCUGUGGAAGACCUGAAGUACCUGUUUAGAAGACAGCCAAAAGAUAAGUAAAUGCCUACCAACUUUCCUUGGUGUUUUUGUUGCAUAGUUACUGUAGGCUGGAUAAUAAUAGCCAUAUUUUUAUAUAUUUGGCUGGAUAAUAAUAGCCAUAUUUUUAUAUAUUUUUGCAGUUUUUCUUUUUUCAAAUGUUUGGAAUCACUCCCUUUGUAGCAAUUAAGCAGAAUGUUUUAAUUCCUCCCUAUAACAAACAUUCCUGAUAACGUAGGUAUCCACCCCCUGAAGUUCCCAUUAGAUCUUUUAACCAAAUUCAUUUCCUCUCACCUAGAGACCAUUGAACUUCAUAUGAUCAUGCAACAACAUUGCCAGCCAGUUCCAAAUGAAGAUAGCACCCCCAGCGAUCAAUAAACUACCCUGCCUCCACUAGAUAGAGCAGGGAAAAAUUUCCAUGAUCAGUAAUAGGUAGGGAUUGCACCCAAGUUAGCAUGAAGCAGUUACAGAAGAAAGACCAUCAAUCCCUCUGCUUCCCAUAAAGAUUUAUGGGAAUCACAUCUCUCAGGGGGAAAAUGAGGCAGGAAAAUAGGAUCUGGAAGCAGGGAACCUAAGGUUUAUUCAUGCUGACUGGAUAUCAGAGGCUACUCUCUUUACGACCUCUCCUUCUGUGUGGCAGUUGAAAAAUGAGACCAAUAUCCCUGAUGAACAUUGAUGCAGAAAUCCCCAAUAAAAUAUUGGCAAACCGAAUCCAGCGGCACAUCAAAAAGCUUAUCCACCAUGAUCAAGUCAGCUUCAUCCCUGGGAUGCAAGGCUGGUUCAACAUAUGCAAAUCAAUAAACGUAAUCCAUCAUACAAACAGAAUCAACGACUAAAGCCACAUGAUUAUCUCAAUAGAUGCAGAAAAGGCCUUUGACAAAAUUCAACAGCCCUUCAUGCUAAACACUCUUAAUAAACUAGGUAUUAAUGGGAUGUAUCUCAAAAUAAUAAGAGCUAUUUAUGAAAAACCCACAGCCAAUAUCAUACUGAAUGGGCAAAAACUGAAGCAUUCCCUUUGAAAACUGGCACAAGACAAGGAUGCUGUCUCUCACCACUCCUAUUCAACAUAGUGUUGGAAAUUCUGGCCAGGGCAAUCAGGUAAGAGAAAGAAAGAAAAGGUAUUCAUUUGGGAAAAGAGGAAGUCAAAUUGUCCCUGCUUGCAGAUGACAUGAUUGUAUAUUUAGAAAAGCCCCAUAAUCUCAGCCCGAAAUCUUCUUAAGCUGAUAAGCAACUUCAGCAAAGUCUCAGGAUGCAAAAUCAAAAGUCUCAGGAUGCAAAAAGACAAACAGAGAACCAAAUCAUGAGUGAACUCCCAUUCACAAUUGCUACAAAGAGAAUAAAAUACCUAGGAAUCCAACUUACAAGGGAUGUGAAGGACCUCUUCAAGGAGAACUACAAACCACAGCUCAACAAAAUGAAAGAGGACACAAACAAAUGGAAGAGCAUUCCAUGCUCACGGAUAGGAAGAAUCAAUGUCAUGAAAAUGGCCAUAUUGCCCAAGGUAAUUUAUAGAUUCAGUGCCAUUUCCAUCAAGCUACUAAUGUCUUUCUUCACAGAAUUGGAAAAAACUACUUUAAAGUUCAUAUGGAACCAAAAAAGAGCCUGCAUAGCCAAGACAAUCCUAAGUAAAAAGAACAAAGCUAGAGGCAUCACACUACCUGACUUCAAAUUAUACUACAACGCUACAGUAACCAAAACAGCAUGCUACUGGUACCAAAACAGGGAUAUAGACUAAUGGAACAGAACAGAAGCCUCAGAAAUAAGACCACACAUCUACAACCAUCUGAUCUUUGACAAACCUGACAAAAACCAGAAAUGAGGAAAGGAUUUCCUAUUUAAUAAAUGGUGCUGGGAAAACUGGCUAGCCAUAUGUAGAAAGCUGAAACUGGAUCCCUUCCUUACACCUUAUACAAAAAUUAACUCAAGAUGGAUUAAAGACUUAAAUGUAAGACCUAAAACCAUAAAAAUCCUGGAAGAAAACCUAGGCGAUACCAUUCAGGACGUAGGCAUGGCCAAAGACUUCAUGACUAAAACACCAAAAGCAAUGGCAACAAAAGCCAAAAUAGACAAAUGGGAUCUAAUUAAACUAAAGAGCUUCUGCACAGCAAAAGAAACUAUCAUUAGAGUGAACAGGCAACCUACAGAAUGCGAGGAAAUCUUUGCAAUCUACCCAUCUGACAAAGGGCUAAUAUCCAGAAUCUACAAAUAACUUAAGCAAAUUUACAAGAAAAAAAACAACCCCAUCAAAAAGUGGGCAAAGGAUAUGACACUUCUCAAAAGAAGACAUUUAUGCAGCCAACAGACACAUGAAAAAAUCUUCGUCAUCACUGGUCGUCAGAGAAAUGCAAUGCAAAUCAAAACCACAAUGAGAUACCAUCUCACGCCAGUUAGAAUGGUGAUAAUUAAAAAGUCAGGAAACAGAUGCUGGAGAGGAUGCAGAGAAAUAGGAACGCUUUUACAGUGUUGGUGGGAGUGUAAAUUAGUUCAACCAUUGUGAAAGUCAGUGUGGCAAUUCCUCAAGGAUCUAGAACUAGAAAUAUCAUUUGACCCAGUAAUCCCAUUACUGGGUAUAUACCCAAAGGAUUAUAAACCAUGCUACUAUAAAAACACAUGCACACGUAUAUUUAUUGCGACAAUAUUCACAAUAGCAAAGACUUGGAACCAACCCAAAUGUCCUUCAGUGGUAGACUGGAAAUGUGGCACGUAUACACCAUGGAAUACUAUGCAGCCAUAAAAAAAGGAUGAGUUUAUGUCCUUUGCAGGGACAUGGAUGAAGCUGGAAACCAUCGUUCUCAGCAAACUGUCACAAUGACAGAAAACCAAACACUGCAUGUUCUCACUCAUAGGUGGGAAUUGAACAAUGAGAACACUUGGACACAGGGCAGGGAAUAUCACACACCAGGGCCUGUUGGUGGGGUGAGGGGCUGGGGGAGGGAUAGCAUUAGGAGAAAUACGUAAUGUAAAUGACGAGUUGAUGGGUGCAGCAAACCAACACGGCACAUGUAUACCUAUGUAACAAACCUGCACGUGUGCCCAUGUACCCUAGAACUUAAAGUAUAAUAAAAUAAAAUAAAAAAAUAGAUGAAUGGAUAAAGGAAAAAAAAAAUGAAAGUACCUCUGAUUGAUUCCCUCCCACAAGCAAUCAGACUGGUCGUGGGUCUAUUCUUUAUUCUGAUUGGUCCCCUCCCCCAACAAAUCAGACUGGUUGUGGGCCAAUGGGAAAUCUCUAGAAGGCAUUUAACCCAAGCAAAUUCUGUAACAGAUGCACUUGAGCCACUUGCUCGUGCACACUCCCACUCUGUGGAGUGUACUUUCAUUAAAAUUCUCCGCUUUCACUGCCUUGUUUUGUUUGUGCGUUUUGUCCAAUACUUUGUUCAAAACAUCAAGAACCUGGACAACUACCCUCAACCAGUAACAAGUAGACUAAAACAUAGGUAGUUUUCAGGAUAGACUUGGCAGUCUUGGCCUUGUGGUGGCAAUUAUAUCCUUGAGUUCUUAAACCUGUAAUCCCAGCACUUUGGGAGGCCGAGGCUGGCGGAUCACGGCGUCAGGAGACGGCGACCAUCCCGGGUAAAGUGGUGAAACUCCGUCUCUACUAAAAAUACAAAAAAAAAAAAAUUAUCCAGGCAUGGUGGCACGCGCCUGUAGUCCCAGCUACUCGGGAUGCUGAAGCAGGAGAAUUGCUUGAACCCGGGAGGCGGAGGUUGCAGCGAGCCGAGAAUGUGGCAGCAAAAGAGACCUGUGAUGAGGAAAACCUGAUAGUCCCAUAUCUAGGAAGCCAAGGAGAAUUAUACUUUCAAGAAGUAAGGGUGUACAGAUAGCAAUU
Long non-coding RNA from Pongo pygmaeus (Bornean orangutan), 4431 nucleotides. RefSeq lists it as uncharacterized. The record is from RefSeq and is a predicted model, not a curated record. The transcript has 3 exons. NCBI's taxonomy places the organism in Eukaryota, Metazoa, Chordata, Mammalia, Primates, Hominidae.